This 253-nucleotide unclassified non-coding RNA is filed under the name uncultured Gammaproteobacteria bacterium. RNAcentral's name for it is "contains 16S-23S intergenic spacer region". It matches the Rfam family "Bacterial small subunit ribosomal RNA", at positions 524 to 776 of the family's 1533-position model. Lineage: Bacteria; Pseudomonadati; Pseudomonadota; Gammaproteobacteria. The record is from RNAcentral.
UACAGAGGGUGCGAGCGUUAAUCGGAAUUACUGGGCGUAAAGCGUGCGUAGGUGGUUAGAUAAGUCAGAUGUGAAAGCCCUGGGCUUAACCUGGGAAUUGCGUUUGGUACUGUCUGGCUAGAGUAUGGGAGAGGGAAGUGGAAUUUCCGGUGUAGCGGUGAAAUGCGUAGAUAUCGGAAGGAACACCAGUGGCGAAGGCGGCUUCCUGGACCAUUACUGACACUGAGGUACGAAAGCGUGGGGAGCGAACAGG